UGAAACUCAUGGGUUCCAAGUGGGCGGCU
Molecule: non-coding RNA, 29 nt
Filed under: Rattus norvegicus (Norway rat)
Lineage: Eukaryota; Metazoa; Chordata; Mammalia; Rodentia; Muridae
Source: RNAcentral